This 1020-nucleotide long non-coding RNA is filed under the name Serinus canaria (Common canary). RNAcentral describes it as "lncRNA (ENSSCAG00000011032.1)". Lineage: Eukaryota; Metazoa; Chordata; Aves; Passeriformes; Fringillidae. The record is from RNAcentral.
UGUUACACUCAAUAAAAAGAGGCUCCCCAGCCCCUUCUGGUGUCGGUCACCAGUGGCAUCUCCCGGCUGGAGUGGAGGGUGGCAACCUCCAGAAUCCUGCUGGAGCCCCAGAAGGAAUUCAGCCACGAGAAUUCAACCGCGGGAGCUGAGCUCACGUGUGGGACCUGCCGUGGAUGCAGGGCAGCCGAGGAAAUGAUGCACGGGAGAGGCAUCGUCCGCAUCCAGUGAGUCAGGACAAGUGGGAUGGAGGAGGAGAGUCUGUUUGGUAAAUAAACCUAUCACCAUUCCUUUGGAUGCCUCACUUCCCACUCAGGAAAAACGGUAUAAAAGUUGGUGGAUCUCGGGGUGCUUCAUUCGCUCAGCUUUGCCCUGAGGUGUCCGUGGUCAGAGCCGAGAAGGGGUCACUGCUCCAAGAUGUGCUCCAGACAAAGCGGGUGCCACGGCUGCGGCUGCUGCUGCUGCUGCCGGGUAGCCAACAGUCCCAGGGCUCCUCCGGCGGGGGAGGAGGCGGAUCCUGCUGCGGUGGAGGAUCCUCUGGAGGAUCAGCCCAGAAGAUCAUUAUCAGCUCUGGCGGUGGAGGAGGAGGAGGAGGCUCCUCCGGAUGCUGUGGAGGGGGAUCUGGUGGUGGCUCUUCAGGAGGGAAGAUCAUCAUGGGAGGGGGAGGCGGUGGCGGAUCCUCUGGAUGCUGCGGUGGCGGAUCCGGCGGCGGCUCCUCAGGCCAGACCAUCAUCAUCAGCUCUGGAGGUGGCGGCGGAGGCUCCUCCCAGCAGAAAUGUCCUGUUGUCAUCCCCAUGUCCCACCAGACCAAGCAGAGCUCCCACUGGCCCUGCCAGCAGAAGUAACAGCCCUGGGCUGCUCUGGUUCCCAUCAGGAACGGUCGAGUCCUUGCCCUCCCAGUUUUUCCCCAGCACAUCCUCGUCCCUUGUGUUCCCUUGGUGCUGCAUCCCUGUGCUGUGAACUCCCAGGUGGCUCCUCUGUGCCAUAAAUGUGACGGGAAAUAAAGAUUUCUGUGCACGGACA